This 254-nucleotide unclassified non-coding RNA is filed under the name uncultured Acidimicrobiia bacterium. RNAcentral's name for it is "contains 16S-23S intergenic spacer region". It matches the Rfam family "Bacterial small subunit ribosomal RNA", at positions 524 to 776 of the family's 1533-position model. Lineage: Bacteria; Bacillati; Actinomycetota; Acidimicrobiia. The record is from RNAcentral.
CACGUAGGGACCAAGCGUUGUCCGGAUUUAUUGGGCGUAAAGAGCUCGUAGGCGGUUUCGUAAGUCGGAUGUGAAAACUCAGGGCUCAACCCGGAGACGCCAUCUGAUACUGCGAUGACUAGAGUCCGGUAGGGGAGCAUGGAAUUCCUGGUGUAGCGGUGGAAUGCGCAGAUAUCAGGAGGAACACCAAUGGCGAAGGCAGUGCUCUGGGCUGGAACUGACGCUGAGGAGCGAAAGCAUGGGGAGCAAACAGG